Long non-coding RNA from Eriocheir sinensis (Chinese mitten crab), 196 nucleotides. RefSeq lists it as uncharacterized. The transcript is spliced from 2 exons. The record is from RefSeq and is a predicted model, not a curated record. Lineage: Eukaryota; Metazoa; Arthropoda; Malacostraca; Decapoda; Varunidae.
AGAGAGAGAGAGAGAGAGAGAGAGAGAGAGAGAGAGAGAGAGAGAGAGAGAGAGAGAGAGAGAGAGAGAGAGAGAGAGAGAGAUUGUGUGUGUUAGAUUAUGUUAGGUUAAGUUAGGUUAGGUUCAGAGAGAGAGAGAGAGAGAGAGAGAGAGAGAGAGAGAGAGAGAGAGAGAGAGAGAGAGAGAGAGAGAGAGA